UACGGAGGGUGCAAGCGUUAUCCGGAUUCACUGGGCUUAAAGGGUGCGUAGGCGGACCGGUAAGUCAGUGGUGAAAUCUCUGGGCUUAACUCAGAAACUGCCGUUGAUACUAUUUGUCUUGAAUGUCAUGGAGGUAAGCGGAAUAUGUCAUGUAGCGGUGAAAUGCUUAGAUAUGACAUAGAACACCGAUAGCGAAGGCAGCUUACUAGAUGAAGAUUGACGCUGAGGCACGAAAGCGUGGGGAGCAAACAGG
Molecule: ribosomal RNA, 253 nt
Filed under: uncultured bacterium
Lineage: Bacteria
Description: partial 16S ribosomal RNA
Rfam family: Bacterial small subunit ribosomal RNA
Source: RNAcentral